RNAcentral lists this ribosomal RNA (460 nucleotides) under uncultured bacterium. RNAcentral's name for it is "partial 16S ribosomal RNA". It matches the Rfam family "Bacterial small subunit ribosomal RNA", at positions 338 to 795 of the family's 1533-position model. The record is from RNAcentral.
CCUACGGGAGGCAGCAGUGAGGAAUAUUGGUCAAUGGACGAGAGUCUGAACCAGCCAAGUAGCGUGAAGGAUGACUGCCCUAUGGGUUGUAAACUUCUUUUAUAAAGGAAUAAAACGAGGCACGUGUGCCUUUUUGCAUGUACUUUAUGAAUAAGGAUCGGCUAACUCCGUGCCAGCAGCCGCGGUAAUACGGAGGAUCCGAGCGUUAUCCGGAUUUAUUGGGUUUAAAGGGAGCGUAGAUGGGUUGUUAAGUCAGUUGUGAAAGUUUGCGGCUCAACCGUAAAAUUGCAAUUGAUACUGGCAGUCGUGAGUACAGUUGAGGUAGGCGGAAUUCGUGGUGUAGCGGUGAAAUGCUUAGAUAUCACGAAGAACCCCGAUUGCGAAGGCAGCUUACUAAACUGUGACUGACAUUGAUGCUCGAAAGUGUGGGUAUCAAACAGGAUUAGAUACCCUGGGAGUC